This 77-nucleotide transfer RNA is filed under the name Marmota monax (woodchuck). RNAcentral describes it as "tRNA.Ala". The record is from RNAcentral. Lineage: Eukaryota; Metazoa; Chordata; Mammalia; Rodentia; Sciuridae.
UGGGGAUAUUGUUCAGUGGUAGAAUAAAUAUUUGCCUAGCAUGCAUGAGGCCCUGGGUUCAAUCCCCAGUUCUGUAG